GAGUUUGAUCCUGGCUCAGAACGAACGCUGGCGGCGUGCCUAACACAUGCAAGUCGAACGGAUUUGAGGGGCUUGCUCCUCAAGUUAGUGGCGCACGGGUGAGUAACGCGUAGAUAAUCUGCCUGAUGAUCUGGGAUAACACUUCGAAAGGGGUGCUAAUACCGGAUAAGCCCACGGGGUCUUUGGAUUCUGCGGGAAAAGGGGGGGACUUUCGGGCCUUCUGUCAUCAGAUGAGUCUGCGUACCAUUAGCUAGUUGGUAGGGUAAUGGCCUACCAAGGCUACGAUGGUUAGCUGGUUUGAGAGAAUGAUCAACCACACUGGAACUGAGACACGGUCCAGACUCCUACGGGAGGCAGCAGUGGGGAAUUUUGCGCAAUGGGCGAAAGCCUGUCGCARCAACSCCGCGUGAGUGAUGAAGGCUUUCGGGUCGUAAAGCUCUGUCGAGGGGAAAGAAGUGUAUUGUGGCUAAUAUCCACGAUACUUGACGGUACCCCUAAAGGAAGCACCGGCUAACUCCGUGCCAGCAGCCGCGGUAAUAC
RNAcentral lists this ribosomal RNA (540 nucleotides) under uncultured Geobacteraceae bacterium. RNAcentral describes it as "bacterial SSU rRNA". It matches the Rfam family "Bacterial small subunit ribosomal RNA", at positions 9 to 526 of the family's 1533-position model. The record is from RNAcentral. Lineage: Bacteria; Pseudomonadati; Thermodesulfobacteriota; Desulfuromonadia; Geobacterales; Geobacteraceae.